Molecule: ribosomal RNA, 1347 nt
Filed under: uncultured bacterium
Lineage: Bacteria
Description: partial 16S ribosomal RNA
Rfam family: Bacterial small subunit ribosomal RNA
Source: RNAcentral
GACGAACGCUGGCGGCGCUGCUUAACACAUGCAAGUCGAACGGAAAGGCCCUGCUUUUGUGGGGUGCUCGAGUGGCGAACGGGUGAGUAACACGUGAGUAACCUGCCCUUGACUUUGGGAUAACUUCAGGAAACUGGGGCUAAUACCGGAUAGGAGCUCCUGCUGCAUGGUGGGGGUUGGAAAGUUUCGGCGGUUGGGGAUGGACUCGCGGCUUAUCAGCUUGUUGGUGGGGUAGUGGCUUACCAAGGCUUUGACGGGUAGCCGGCCUGAGAGGGUGACCGGCCACAUUGGGACUGAGAUACGGCCCAGACUCCUACGGGAGGCAGCAGUGGGGAAUAUUGCACAAUGGGCGGAAGCCUGAUGCAGCAACGCCGCGUGCGGGAUGACGGCCUUCGGGUUGUAAACCGCUUUCGCCUGUGACGAAGCGUGAGUGACGGUAAUGGGUAAAGAAGCACCGGCUAACUACGUGCCAGCAGCCGCGGUGAUACGUAGGGUGCGAGCGUUGUCCGGAUUUAUUGGGCGUAAAGGGCUCGUAGGUGGUUGAUCGCGUCGGAAGUGUAAUCUUGGGGCUUAACCCUGAGCGUGCUUUCGAUACGGGUUGACUUGAGGAAGGUAGGGGAGAAUGGAAUUCCUGGUGGAGCGGUGGAAUGCGCAGAUAUCAGGAGGAACACCAGUGGCGAAGGCGGUUCUCUGGGCCUUUCCUGACGCUGAGGAGCGAAAGCGUGGGGAGCGAACAGGCUUAGAUACCCUGGUAGUCCACGCUGUAAACGGUGGGUACUAGGUGUGGGGUCCAUUCCACGGGUUCCGUGCCGUAGCUAACGCUUUAAGUACCCCGCCUGGGGAGUACGGCCGCAAGGCUAAAACUCAAAGGAAUUGACGGGGCCCCGCACAAGCGGCGGAGCAUGCGGAUUAAUUCGAUGCAACGCGUAGAACCUUACCUGGGUUUGACAUGGAUCGGGAGUGCUCAGAGAUGGGUGUGCCUCUUUUGGGGUCGGUUCACAGGUGGUGCAUGGCUGUCGUCAGCUCGUGUCGUGAGAUGUUGGGUUAAGUCCCGCAACGAGCGCAACCCUUGUUCACUGUUGCCAGCACGUUAUGGUGGGGACUCAGUGGAGACCGCCGGGGUCAACUCGGAGGAAGGUGGGGAUGACGUCAAGUCAUCAUGCCCCUUAUGUCCAGGGCUUCACGCAUGCUACAAUGGCUGGUACAGAGAGUGGCGAGCCUGUGAGGGUGAGCGAAUCUCGGAAAGUCGGUCUCAGUUCGGAUUGGGGUCCGCAACUCGACCUCAUGAAGUCGGAGUCGCUAGUAAUCGCAGAUCAGCAACGCUGUGGUGAAUACGUUCCCGGGGCU